This is a long non-coding RNA of Etheostoma cragini (Arkansas darter), 1173 nucleotides long. RefSeq lists it as uncharacterized. The record is from RefSeq and is a predicted model, not a curated record. Lineage: Eukaryota; Metazoa; Chordata; Actinopteri; Perciformes; Percidae. The transcript has 2 exons.
UUAAAAAAAAAAUGAAUGUCAAGUUCAAUUUGUUUUUAUGAAGAUGUUCUUUAUUAGCAAGCUUGUUGUACUUCGACACUAAGGCACAUUAGAGCACUAAAGCUAAUACAUGAGACAUGUUCUACAGCUUGCCUUGUACAACCAUAUAAAAACAAUUCGAUCACAGCGAAAAUUAACACAUUUGCACUAAACAUGCAUAGAUUUCAAUAAACAGUAGAGUAUCUAUGAUGAAAGCAUGUUUAAUACUGAUGCGUGUGUGUAUAUAAUGUGUGUAUUUAUAAUAUAGGAAUAUAUAAGUUUCCCGAAACAGAGAUGAAGUCAAUGGCCAUAUCAUUGGGAUUAAAACACCUUUAGACUAGGACUUGUUAGUCCUUGUCCAGGGAACUGCCCAACAACAUCUUUGAAGGGGAAGUAACCAAAGGUAACUGGCAUAAUGGUAGACCACAGUAAAAUGUACACAAGUGAUAAGACUGGCACAAAACAACCAAAUAUGACAUACUACAAUGAAACUCUCUAGUUAGUACGAUAUUACUAAUUUAUACUUAAGGUAUAAAAAGCUCUGGGUUUAUUACCCACACACAGAACUUGGCAUUUCAUUGAGUAAAACAUUAUUCUAAGUGCAUAGGAAAGUAUGUGCGUCAAACAUUAAUGCAAAUAAAUCUUCUAUGUGCCAAAACAGCAGCAACAACAAAGCUACUUAGCUACAUGUACAUAACUCCACUUCUAGUAGUGCUGCAGUUACUUCACUGAGGAUGUAAACUUCCAUAGAUGGGGUAGAGCUGUCAGUUUUCUUCAAUACAGUAAUACCUUUUGAAUUUCCUUUUAUUAUUUUGUUUUGAUAUUCGAAUAUUUGAAUAUCUAAUGCUUACAUGCAGCCUGUACAUGUACUACACUUCUCAGGCUUCUGCAUUGUCAAUGCCACUAUAAGCAGUGAGGUGGUUGUUGUUACACGUUCUGUCCACUGGAGGGACAACAUCAGCCUGGCCUUGAAGGGGAUCUACGGCACGGCGUGUUGCAUUUAUGGCACACAGCAACAAUAAAGCGGCUCUGUUGUAAAGGCUAAUGGUGCUCGGUUAGCACAAUGACAUGUUAGUUCCAUGAUUAAAAGAUCCUCUUUGUAAUCUUGUGUAAAAGUCUAUUACAUAACUAUUGCGACUUCAUGUUUGGCAUAAA